CUGGGCUGCAAUGUGAAGGGAAUUUCAAGCGGAGGGGAAAAGGGUGAUAACAUUGGGGUGACGCAAACACAGCACAAGGGAACAGCAGGUCAGCCAAGGAGGCACAGGCCUGGCCAGGGUGCCACUGGGACAAAGGGAACACAGGAGCCUAAGGCAGGGCAGAACUGUGAAUAAGGGGUCACGGGCCUUGGUAGGGCGGGCAUGGGGAGAAACCAGAAGCUCCUUCAGGGGAGGUGGGAGCAGGGCUGGGCAGCAGUGGGCAGUGCAGCUGUAACACAAGAGCUGGGGGCAGUGGGGAAACCAGGAAGUCUGCAGGCACGACGGUCAGGGGAGGAGCUUUUUUAACAAAUCUAAGGGUGCAGGGAUCACUUUCACCUAGCAAGCUGCUCAGCCUUGUUUCUUUUGUUCCAGGCAGGCCAGCUCUAUUCGAGAGGAUACAGGCAAGCCGGGGAGAUGAAGGUGCAGGUCCUAAAUCCACCGAAGGUCGAGUGAUAGGUGGCCAGUCCCACAGACCUGCACACAGCUGGGCUCCGCUCUCCCUCCUUCCUCCACGCCACAGGGCUGGAAGGAAUCCAGGGAGCCCUUCCGAAAAUUCCUUUAGAGAACUGACCUCAUUUGAAGCGGACACUGAGCCUGGAGAAGCCUUUUACUUCUGGCCGGGUGAGUGUAAGUCGAAAUAAAGGCAAAGUCGUGCAUUUGAAGAUAAGUGUGAUAGUCCCCAGCACAGAGUGAGACCAUGGCAACACACAAGGACACAGGAGCUCCUGUCUCAUGACCAGAAAACAAAACCCAGCCAUGGUGAGUCAGGAGCACCGUGGGACAGAGAGUUCUCCUCGGUUUGGGUCAGGAUGCCUGAGCUCAGCAAGGAUUUAUUGACCUUCUACACUGAGUUCAGCAGAGCCAGUGAGAUGACAUUCUCACAUACUGAUUAUGCAUAGCGGGCUCAAGGGAACCACAGCUUUCUGGCAGCUGGCUCUGAUCAUCCUACGCAGCUUUCCUCAGAUGUCCCACACUCCUGGCUUCUCCAGCUCUCUGGGGUUUCCAGUCCAGGUUUGCCUUCACUCUCAGAGCUUCACACACUGCCCCCCAGAGCCACACUGCCUGGCUUCCAGGGGAAUGAAUCCCAGGAGGCCAGUUUCCCAGAUGACCUUUUUUUUUCCGAAUAAAAAAACAGUUUUGUCGAGGUAUAAUUAACAUACAAU
Long non-coding RNA from Heterocephalus glaber (naked mole-rat), 1202 nucleotides. RefSeq lists it as uncharacterized. The record is from RefSeq and is a predicted model, not a curated record. Lineage: Eukaryota; Metazoa; Chordata; Mammalia; Rodentia; Bathyergidae.